UGCAGAGGGUUAAGUAAACAUUGGAUAUUUGUACAUGGGCAGAAACGUUGUCAGACUCAAUCAGUGGGAUUAUUGGGAUUGCGCCGUAUCAACCAGCUGGUUUUCAAUGAAAACAUUGCAGACAACUGGAAAGUGUUUGAAAAGGAAUGGUGGAUUUACUGCAACGCGGGUCUAUCUGACAAAACAACGAAGGUUCAAGUGUGCACUCUACUAAACCUGGCUGGACCGGACACCGUGGAAAAUCAUUUAUCUUUGCAGAGGAAGAGAAUGAGGUUCUGGAGGUAUUGUUGACACAGUUUGAAUAGAUACUGUAUGUCUCCCAGUGAAAAAUGUAAUAAUGGACAGACACGUUAAAUUCUACAAACCGAAAACCUGAUUAAUCCAUUCAGUCCUAUACAUCUAUGCUGAAAAUACUGGCAAAGAAAUGUGAAUUUGGUCCACUAACUGAUGAACUGGUUAGAGAACAAAGUGACAAGAAACUGCUAUGAAAAGAAAUUCACACUGGAAUCAGCUGUUAAUCUGUGCAUGCUAAAUGAGCAGUCAAAGGAGUAAAAAGUAACUGAGGAGGGAGGCAUUGCCGUUCAAGGUCAAAGCUGUACAAACUGUAAUGGUGCACACCCCCCUGAUAGAAACAUAUGUUUUGCAUUUGACAAACGGUGCAAUAACUCUGGUAGGAUUAAUAUUUUUUCCAAGUGCUGCAGGUCAAGUCAACAACAAGCACAACAGCAACCAUCAGGCAGCUAUGCUAACAGUAACAGAUACCAUACUAAUGCACAUCAGCCUGGCUCAUAGCCUAGAGCACAGAACUUCAGCAGAAUGAAUGAACUGGAAUGUAAACCUGAAUAUGAUGCUGAGGAUACAUUCUACUGUGAAAGUGUUGAUCUGAUUACUAAAAAGGGGGAGAUAUUCACUACUCUAAUAGUAAACUACACUGCAGCCAAGCUCAACGUGAAAAUGGAUACUGGUGCAAAGUGCAAGGUGUUAUCUAAACAAAUGCUGGAGAACAUUGAACCUACUGUGUCUGUUAAUACUGCUGAAAAAGUUAACCUGGCUGCCUAUGGGGCACAGAUGAUCCGUACAGAGGGCACAGCCACCCUUCAUUGCACUCAAGGGAACUUUAACUUUAAUGUAGUUGAACAGGAAGUGAAACCACUACUUGGGUUGCCAGACAGCAUAGCAUUGGGGCUCAUACAACUAGGUCCUGAUGUGCACAUGUUGAAGCAAUAGGCUCCAGGAGUAUAGUGACCUAUUUAACACGGAAGAGAUUGGCAAUCUACCAGUGGUAUAUCACAUGAAACUGAAUGAGUCAGUAAUGCCCAGUCUAUGCACCCAGAAAAGUGCCAGUGGCAAUGAAAGAGAAAGUGAUUAAAGAAUUUGAGAAGAUGUCGGGUUAGGUGUUCUAAUCCCUGAAAAUUAAGCCACAGAGUGGGUUUCUGCCAUGGUAGCUACUGUAAAAAAGAAGAAAAGAUGACUGUCAGGCUAUGCCUGGAAACAGUGCAUUUGAACAGGUUCAGGUGCCUCCGCGUACGUCAUCUCCACUGGAAGUGAGGUCUUCCAGAGGUCAAUGGAGAAGCUUUUUGCUGGGCAGCCAUGUGAGAUAGUGGUGAACGACAUCCUGGUGUAAGAAUGUAAGGAUGCACACUGGAUGAACACAAUGAGCGCCUCAAGGAGGUGCUCAACAGGAUUAGAGCUGUCCAUUUGGGAUUAGAGCGGUCAGCUGAAUCCAGAGAAAUGCUUCAUAAGGUUCCCUACGUCGGCCACCUUCUCAUAGCUGAUGGGGUGGAACCUGACCCAGAAAAGACAGAGGUCGUCAGACAGAUGCCCAAGCCAGGGGAAAAGCACACACUGCAGCAUUUUUUGGGUAUGACUAACUAUCUGUCUAAGUUCUUUUCACAGUGAGGUGACGGGGCCCCUCCACCAGCUCUUCCAUCAGGAGACUGAAUGGUGCUGGCAGGAGCAGCAUGACGCUGCCUUCACCAAAAUCAUAGAGUUGGUAUCUAGCCCACCAGUGCUCCAAGUACUAUGAUUUGGGCAAACCAGUGGUGCUGUCUGCAGAUGCAACCCAACAUGGUCUCGGGGCAGUAUGUUUACAACUAGGUAGGCCAGUGGCCUUUGAAUCUAGAGCACUGACAGAGACAGUGACACAUUACGCUCAGAUCAAGGAGCAGAUGUUGGCUCUUAUUUUUUGCAUGUAAAAAGUUUCAUGAUUUAAUUUACGGACAUGCGGUGCUGGUGGAUAUGGGGUUUACAAAAUAGGGAAGUAGCUGUUUGUAGCUGACCGGAGGACACAGAAGAGUCCUUUGAUGUCAUGACUGUACAGGUUCUGUCCUGUCCUUGCACUGAAGAGUUGAGGGCUGCAGUGGCAACAGACAUCACAUGCCAGCACCUCUGAGAAGUCAUUCUAAAUGGCUGGCUAAAAUCAUCAAAGGAGCUUCCCCAAGACGUUCGCCCCUACUAUGCCAUGAAAGAAGAGUUUACAGUACAGGAUUGGCUCAUACUGGGGGGGUCAAAGGCUGCUUAUCCCAUUGUCUUUACAACAAUUCUAUACAGGCCAACUGCAUCAAGGACACCCAGGGGCUGAGGCAACAAAUCGUAGAGCAAGGGAAAUGUGUGCUGACAUAGAGAGGGAGGUGUUCUGCUGUGCUCCUUUUAAUGCUCUUAACCCCCACCAGGUUAACCUGUUAGGGCUAGGGGGCAGUAUUGACACGGCUGGA
Salmo salar (Atlantic salmon) is the source of this 2714-nucleotide non-coding RNA. The record is from RefSeq and is a predicted model, not a curated record. NCBI's taxonomy places the organism in Eukaryota, Metazoa, Chordata, Actinopteri, Salmoniformes, Salmonidae.